UAAUCUAUCUGAAGUAGAUUAUCAUCUAGUUGUAGCAGACUCACACCUGACCGUUUAAAAUCACUCGUACAUGCUUUCAAAUAUGCUCUUUUCUGGAUAUCAUUCCGAUCCACCAUUGAAGAGGUA
Non-coding RNA from Populus trichocarpa (black cottonwood), 126 nucleotides. The record is from Rfam. Lineage: Eukaryota; Viridiplantae; Streptophyta; Magnoliopsida; Malpighiales; Salicaceae.